GGAAGGUCAAGCCGAUGGCUGGCGACGGCACUGGUCUUGAAAACCAGCGAGCGUAGUGAUACGCCUUGAGGGAUCGUUCCCCUCACCUUCCGCCA
Molecule: transfer RNA, 95 nt
Filed under: Acinetobacter phage Melin
Lineage: Duplodnaviria; Heunggongvirae; Uroviricota; Caudoviricetes; Pantevenvirales; Straboviridae
Also listed under: 3 other names
Description: tRNA-Ser
Source: RNAcentral